AAACACAAGCCAAAAAGGGAAAGACCCACCGGAAAGAGAACAGCCAGAAACGCAACAGACAGAAGGCGGGGAAACGGCCAACCAAGACAACGACACAAAACCGGCAAGAGAGGAAGAACAGCCACACCGGAACAGAGACACGGCCCAGACACCAACGGGAGGCAGCAGCGGGGAACACCGCACAACGGACGAAAGACAGACGCAGCAACGCCGCGAGGAGGAAGACACAAAACGGCGCGAAAACACCAAAAAAAAGAGAAGACAACGACGGCAAAAAAAGAAAAAGCACCGGCAAACACCGCGCCAGCAGCCGCGGUAAUACGGGGGGCGCAAGCGAUACUCGGAAUCACUGGGCGUAAAGAGCAUGUAGGCGGAUUGAUAAGUUUGAAGUGAAAUCCUAUAGCUUAACUAUAGAACUGCUUUGAAAACUGUUAAUCUAGAAUGUGGGAGAGGUAGAUGGAAUUUCUGGUGUAGGGGUAAAAUCCGUAGAGAUCAGAAGGAAUACCGAUUGCGAAGGCGAUCUACUGGAACAUUAUUUGACGCUUGAGAUGCGAAAGCGUGGGGAGCAAACAGGAUUAGAUACCCUGGUAGUCCACGCCCUAAACGAUGUACACUAGUUGUUGUGAGACUUGAUCUUGCAGUAAUGCAGUUAACACAUUAAGUGUACCGCCUGGGGAGUACGGUCGCAAGAUUAAAACUCAAAGGAAUAGACGGGGACCCGCACAAGCGGUGGAGCAUGUGGUUUAAUUCGACGAUACACGAAGAACCUUACCUGGACUUGACAUAGUAAGAACUUUCUAGAGAUAGAUUGGUGUCUGCUUGCAGAAACUUAUAUACAGGUGCUGCACGGCUGUCGUCAGCUCGUGUCGUGAGAUGUUGGGUUAAGUCCCGCAACGAGCGCAACCCUCGUGUUUAGUUGCUAACAGUUCGGCUGAGAACUCUAAACAGACUGCCUACGCAAGUAGGAGGAAGGUGAGGACGACGUCAAGUCAUCAUGGCCCUUACGUCCAGGGCUACACACGUGCUACAAUGGGAUAUACAAAGAGCCGCAAUACGGUGACGUGGAGCAAAUCUUAUAAAAUAUCUCCCAGUUCGGAUUGUAGUCUGCAACUCGACUACAUGAAGUUGGAAUCGCUAGUAAUCGUAGAUCAGCUAUGCUACGGUGAAUACGUUCCCGGGUCUUGUACUCACCGCCCGUCACACCAUGGGAGUCGAACUCAUUCGAAGCGGGGAUG
Molecule: ribosomal RNA, 1235 nt
Filed under: Aliarcobacter cryaerophilus
Lineage: Bacteria; Pseudomonadati; Campylobacterota; Epsilonproteobacteria; Campylobacterales; Arcobacteraceae
Description: bacterial SSU rRNA
Rfam family: Bacterial small subunit ribosomal RNA
Source: RNAcentral